CCUACGGGUGGCAGCAGUGGGGAAUAUUGCGCAAUGGGCGAAAGCCUGACGCAGCGACGCCGCGUGAGGGAUGAAGGUCUUCGGAUCGUAAACCUCUGUCAGCAGGGAAGAACGGUCACUGUGCUAAUCAGCAGUGAAUUGACGGUACCUGCAAAGGAAGCACCGGCUAACUCCGUGCCAGCAGCCGCGGUAUUACGGAGGGUGCGAGCGUUAAUCGGAUUUACUGGGCGUAAAGCGCUCGUAGGCGGUAUGUCAAGUCAAGGGUGAAAUCCCCGCGCUCAACGUGUGAACUGCCUUUGAAACUGGCAAACUGGAGUGUGGGAGAGGAUAGUGGAAUGCCAGGUGUAGGAGUGAAAUGCGUAGAUAUCUGGAGGAACAUCAGUGGCGAAGGCGACUAUCUGGCACAUAACUGACGCUGAGGAGCGAAAGCGUGGGUAGCAAACAGGAUUAGAUACCCCGGUAGUC
Molecule: ribosomal RNA, 465 nt
Filed under: uncultured bacterium
Lineage: Bacteria
Description: partial 16S ribosomal RNA
Rfam family: Bacterial small subunit ribosomal RNA
Source: RNAcentral